GACGAACGCUGGCGGCGUGCCUAACACAUGCAAGUCGAACGGGGCAGCCUCUUCGGAGGCUGCUUAGUGGCGAACGGGUGAGUAACGCGUGAGGAACCUGCCUUUCAGUGGGGGACAACAGUUGGAAACGACUGCUAAUACCGCAUAACAUCUUCUGGGGACAUCCCCUAAAGAUCAAAGCUUUAUGUGCUGAAAGAUGGCCUCGCGUCUGAUUAGUUAGUUGGUGAGGUAACGGCCCACCAAGGCAACGAUCAGUAGCCGGUCUGAGAGGAUGAACGGCCACAUUGGGACUGAGAUACGGCCCAGACUCCUACGGGAGGCAGCAGUGGGGAAUAUUGGGCAAUGGGGGAAACCCUGACCCAGCAACGCCGCGUGAAGGAAGAAGGCCUUCGGGUUGUAACUUCUUUUAACCUAGGGACGAACACAAUGACGGUACUGGAGAAAAGACAACGGCGUAACUACGUAGCCAGCAG
This 473-nucleotide ribosomal RNA is filed under the name uncultured bacterium. RNAcentral's name for it is "bacterial SSU rRNA". It matches the Rfam family "Bacterial small subunit ribosomal RNA", at positions 28 to 514 of the family's 1533-position model. The record is from RNAcentral.